CACUAUGCUUAGCCCUAAACAUAGAUAGCACUUACACCUCCGCUAUCCGCCUGGGAACUACGAGCACCAGCUUAAAACCCAAAGGACUUGGCGGUGCUUUAGAUCCACCUAGAGGAGCCUGUUCUAGAACCGAUACCCCCCGUUCAACCUCACCCCUCCUUGUUUUACCCGCCUAUAUACCGCCGUCGUCAGCUUACCCUGUGAAGGGCUUAUAGUAAGCAAAAUUGGUACAACCCUAAACGUCAGGUCGAGGUGUAGCGUAUGGAGGGGGAAGAAAUGGGCUACAUUUUCUACCCUAGAAAAAUACGAAAGAUGUACUGAAAUGUAUACCUGAAGGAGGAUUUAACAGUAAGCAAAAAAUAGAGCGUUUUGCUGAAAUUGGCCCUGAAGCGCGCACACACCGCCCGUCACUCUCCCCAAGCCUAUAACAUAACCAAUAACCUUAAAUCACAACAAACGCAAAGGGGAGGCAAGUCGUAA
This 480-nucleotide ribosomal RNA is filed under the name Brotula multibarbata (goatsbeard brotula). Its description in RNAcentral is "partial small subunit ribosomal RNA". It matches the Rfam family "Bacterial small subunit ribosomal RNA", at positions 788 to 1491 of the family's 1533-position model. The record is from RNAcentral. Lineage: Eukaryota; Metazoa; Chordata; Actinopteri; Ophidiiformes; Ophidiidae.